Molecule: ribosomal RNA, 253 nt
Filed under: uncultured bacterium
Lineage: Bacteria
Description: partial 16S ribosomal RNA
Rfam family: Bacterial small subunit ribosomal RNA
Source: RNAcentral
UACGAAGGGGGCUAGCGUUGCUCGGAAUCACUGGGCGUAAAGGGCGCGUAGGCGGCCUGAUAAGUCGGGGGUGAAAGCCUGUGGCUCAACCACAGAAUUGCCUUCGAUACUGUUAGGCUUGAGACCGGAAGAGGUGAGUGGAACUGCGAGUGUAGAGGUGAAAUUCGUAGAUAUUAGGAAGAACACCAGUGGCGAAGGCGGCUCACUGGCUCGGUACUGACGCUGAGGCGCGAAAGCGUGGGGAGCAAACAGG